GAAAUGCGAUACGUAGUGCGAAUUGCAGGAUGUAUGCGAGUCAUCGAAUCUUUGAACGCAUAUUGCGCUCGAGGCUUCGGCCAAGAGCAUGUCUGCCUGAGCGUCACUGAUACCUAUCGACUUCCAUCUUUUUGGAGGUCGGACCUGACCUUUUCCCAGGUGCGUCUUCGGACGUCCGUCUGGGUGGGUUGAAGUGCAGAGGCGCGGGCGCUUUCUCCCGCGGAUUCCAGUCUCACGACUGGAACUCCAUGUAGCGUGGUCAGCAGAUUUCUGCUUUCGAUCGCUGCGACGGUGGAUGCGCUUCGCUGCCGAUAACCAACUUUUAUUUAUCUUAUGACCUCAGAUCAGGCAAGAGUACCCGCUGAACUUAA
This 371-nucleotide unclassified non-coding RNA is filed under the name uncultured fungus. RNAcentral's name for it is "sequence contains ITS1". The stretch from base 1 to 106 matches the Rfam family "5.8S ribosomal RNA", at positions 50 to 154 of the family's 154-position model. Lineage: Eukaryota; Fungi. The record is from RNAcentral.